UACGUAGGGUGCGAGCGUUGUCCGGAUUCAUUGGGCGUAAAGAGCUCGUAGGCGGCUGCUCAAGUCGAAUGUGAAAACUCGAGGCUCAACCUCGAGCCUGCAUUCGAUACUGGGCGGCUAGAGUCUGGUAGGGGGAUCUGGAAUUCCUGGUGUAGCGGUGGAAUGCGCAGAUAUCAGGAGGAACACCGGUGGCGAAGGCGGGAUCCUGGGCCAGUACUGACGCUGAGGAGCGAAAGCAUGGGUAGCGAACAGG
Molecule: ribosomal RNA, 253 nt
Filed under: uncultured bacterium
Lineage: Bacteria
Description: partial 16S ribosomal RNA
Rfam family: Bacterial small subunit ribosomal RNA
Source: RNAcentral